UACAGAGGUCUCAAGCGUUGUUCGGAUUCAUUGGGCGUAAAGGGUGCGUAGGCGGCGCGGUAAGUCGGGUGUGAAAUCUCGGAGCUUAACUCCGAAACUGCAUUCGAUACUGCCGUGCUUGAGGACUGGAGAGGAGACUGGAAUUUACGGUGUAGCGGUGAAAUGCGUAGAUAUCGUAAGGAAGACCAGUGGCGAAGGCGGGUCUCUGGACAGUUCCUGACACUGAGGCACGAAGGCCAGGGGAGCAAACAGG
This 253-nucleotide ribosomal RNA is filed under the name uncultured bacterium. Its description in RNAcentral is "partial 16S ribosomal RNA". It matches the Rfam family "Bacterial small subunit ribosomal RNA", at positions 524 to 776 of the family's 1533-position model. The record is from RNAcentral.